GACGAACGCUGGCGGCGUGCUUAACACAUGCAAGUCGAACGGUAAGGCUCCAGCUUGCUGGGGUACACGAGUGGCGAACGGGUGAGUAACACGUGGGUGACCUGCCCUGCACUUCGGGAUAAGCCUGGGAAACUGGGUCUAAUACCGGAUAGGACCAUGGUGUGGAUACUGUGGUGGAAAGUUUUUUCGGUGUGGGAUGGGCCCGCGGCCUAUCAGCUUGUUGGUGGGGUAAUGGCCUACCAAGGCGGCGACGGGUAGCCGGCCUGAGAGGGUGGACGGCCACAUUGGGACUGAGACACGGCCCAGACUCCUACGGGAGGCAGCAGUGGGGAAUAUUGCACAAUGGGCGGAAGCCUGAUGCAGCGACGCAGCGUGGGGGAUGACGGCCUUCGGGUUGUAAACUCCUUUCACCAUCGACGAAGGGUUUCUGACGGUAGAUGGAGAAGAAGCACCGGCUAACUACGUG
Molecule: ribosomal RNA, 466 nt
Filed under: uncultured bacterium
Lineage: Bacteria
Description: partial 16S ribosomal RNA
Rfam family: Bacterial small subunit ribosomal RNA
Source: RNAcentral